UCGUAAAGCUCUGUUGUUAGGGAAGAACAAGUACCGUUCGAAUAGGGCGGUACCUUGACGGUACCUAACCAGAAAGCCACGGCUAACUACGUGCCAGCAGCCGCGGUAAUACGUAGGUGGCAAGCGUUGUCCGGAAUUAUUGGGCGUAAAGGGCUCGCAGGCGGUUUCUUAAGUCUGAUGUGAAAGCCCCCGGCUCAACCGGGGAGGGUCAUUGGAAACUGGGGAACUUGAGUGCAGAAGAGGAGAGUGGAAUUCCACGUGUAGCGGUGAAAUGCGUAGAGAUGUGGAGGAACACCAGUGGCGAAGGCGACUCUCUGGUCUGUAACUGACGCUGAGGAGCGAAAGCGUGGGGAGCGAACAGGAUUAGAUACCCUGGUAGUCCACGCCGUAGACGAUG
This 397-nucleotide ribosomal RNA is filed under the name Bacillus subtilis subsp. subtilis. Its description in RNAcentral is "bacterial SSU rRNA". It matches the Rfam family "Bacterial small subunit ribosomal RNA", at positions 423 to 811 of the family's 1533-position model. The record is from RNAcentral. Lineage: Bacteria; Bacillati; Bacillota; Bacilli; Caryophanales; Bacillaceae.